Molecule: unclassified non-coding RNA, 147 nt
Organism: Macaca fascicularis (crab-eating macaque)
Lineage: Eukaryota; Metazoa; Chordata; Mammalia; Primates; Cercopithecidae
Rfam family: Metazoan signal recognition particle RNA
About the family: The signal recognition particle (SRP) is a universally conserved ribonucleoprotein. It is involved in the co-translational targeting of proteins to membranes.
Source: Ensembl
GCCGGGGGUGGUGGCGCACACCUGUAGUCCCAGCUACUUGGGAGGCUGAGGCAGGGGAAUUGCUUGAAUCCAGGAGGCGGAGGUUGCAGUGAGCUGAGAUCGUGCCACUGCACUCCAGCCUGGUGACAGAGCAAGACUCUGUCUCAA